This 253-nucleotide ribosomal RNA is filed under the name uncultured bacterium. Its description in RNAcentral is "partial 16S ribosomal RNA". It matches the Rfam family "Bacterial small subunit ribosomal RNA", at positions 524 to 776 of the family's 1533-position model. The record is from RNAcentral.
UACGUAGGUGGCAAGCGUUGUUCGGAAUUAUUGGGCGUAAAGGGCGUUUAGGCGGUUUGUUAAGUCGGCUGUGAAAGCCCGGGGCUCAACCCCGGAGGGUCAGCCGAUACUGGCAGACUAGAGUACGGAAGAGGUAGCUGGAAUUCCCGGUGUAGCGGUGAAGUGCGUAGAUAUCGGGAGGAACACCUGAGGCGAAGGCGGCAUUCUGGACCGAAACUGACGCUGAGGCGCGAAAGCCAGGGGAGCAAACGGG